GGUAUGUGCUCACGAGAAAUGAAGGUGUAUGUCCAGACAGACUCUCACACACAGAUGUCCAUAGCAGCAUUAUUCACAACAGCCAAAAAGUGAUCUGUAAUCCCAGCACUUUGGGGAGGCCAAGGCAGAAGGAUCACUUUGGGGAGGCCAAGGCAGGAGUUUGAAACCAGCCUGGGCAACCUCACAUCUACAAAAAAUAUAAAAAUUAGCUGGGCAUGGUGGUGUGUGCCGUCUUUGUUGUUGUUUUGAGAUGGAGUCUCGCCCUGUUGCCAGACUGGAGUGCAGUGGCGCAAUCUCGGCCCACUGCAACCUCCGACUUCCUGGUUCAAGCAAUUCUUCUGCCUCAGCCUCCCAAGUAGCUGGGAUUACAGGCACGCACCACCACACCAGGCUAAUUUUUGUAUUUUUAGUAGAGACUGCGUUUCACCAUGCUGG
RNAcentral lists this long non-coding RNA (435 nucleotides) under Homo sapiens (human). RNAcentral's name for it is "non-protein coding lnc-TRAPPC12-7:1". The record is from RNAcentral. Lineage: Eukaryota; Metazoa; Chordata; Mammalia; Primates; Hominidae.